This 594-nucleotide ribosomal RNA is filed under the name uncultured bacterium. Its description in RNAcentral is "bacterial SSU rRNA". It matches the Rfam family "Bacterial small subunit ribosomal RNA", at positions 334 to 920 of the family's 1533-position model. The record is from RNAcentral.
GCUUCCUACGGGAGGCAGCAGUGGGGAAUAUUGGACAAUGGGGGCAACCCUGAUCCAGCGACGCCGCGUGGGUGAAGAAGGCCUGCGGGUUGUAAAGCCCUUUCGGUUGGGAAGAAAAGUUGCGACCUAACACGUCGCGACCUUGACGUAACCAACUAAAGAAGCACCGGCUAACUCUGUGCCAGCAGCCGCGGUAAUACAGAGGGUGCGAGCGUUAAUCGGAAUUACUGGGCGUAAAGCGCGCGUAGGCGGCUUUUCAAGUCGAUUGUGAAAUCCCCGGGCUCAACCUGGGAACUGCAGUCGAGACUGUCUAGCUAGAGUAUGGGAGAGGGAAGUGGAAUUUCAGGUGUAGCGGUGAAAUGCGUAGAUAUCUGAAGGAACAUCAGUGGCGAAAGCGACUUCCUGGACCAAUACUGACGCUCAUGUGCGAAAGCGUGGGGAGCAGACAGGAUUAGAUACCCUGGUAGUCCACGCCAUAAACGAUGAGAACUGGAUGUCGGAGGGGUCUGCCCUUCGGUGUCGUAGCUAACGCGUUAAGUUCUCCGCCUGGGGAGUACGGCCGCAAGGUUGAAACUCAAAGGAAUUGACGGAAGC